ACCGUCCCCCAUUAAUCAACAGUGCACCCCACCCGUCAACUGUGCACCACUUCCUCUACAGUGAACCCCUUCCACCAACGGAAGUCAGCUGACAGAGUGUUACCGGGGGACUAAAGAAGGAUAGCACUCCUACAAAUUGGAGUCUUUAAACCAGAGACAAGGUGAAGUAAAAGGAAAAACAACAAUGGAAAUUGCCAGGCUAGCCUCCAGAUUAUCGAGUAAAGGACCUUGUAGAGAAAAGGAACAGGGGUGGCAAACCUUUACGGAUGGCAACAGGAAACACAAGACAACACUUAUCAUAGCACAGCGGUUAAAAAUGGACAAAGAGGAUCCCUUAUAUGUGUACAGGCCACUACUACAUGUAGCACUGCGUUCAUCAUCAGGUUAAGGUGUUGGACAAACCCCUAAGAGAGCCCAAGAGAAUAGUGUAACAUCACACAUGUACUUGAAAGACUUUAGAUAUUGUGAAAAAUUAAAACAAGGUAAGGUAAAGUGCUGAACAUUUUAUAUAUUUUGUAUCAGCGAAACUAAAUUCUGAUAAUAAUUCUGUGAACAUAAGUCAUGGAAAGAUCAUCAAAAUUCCAUAAUUUUGGUUUGUAUCCACGACUGUAGUCAAUGUUUUGUUACUUUUUAUCAGUUGUAGUACUGUACAUACUGUAGCCAGCCCUCAGUCAGGUACAUGUAGUUUUAAAUGUUUGAUUCGGCAUUUCAAGCAGUUUCUCUCAUAAAUAUAAGUCAAAGAAAAUGAGAAUAUGUUUAUUCAUGUGUUUAUUGGAUAAUAUAAUGA
This is a long non-coding RNA of Branchiostoma belcheri (Belcher's lancelet), 787 nucleotides long. RefSeq lists it as uncharacterized. NCBI's taxonomy places the organism in Eukaryota, Metazoa, Chordata, Leptocardii, Amphioxiformes, Branchiostomatidae. The record is from RefSeq and is a predicted model, not a curated record. The transcript is spliced from 4 exons.